AUUGAACGCUGGCGGCAUGCUUUACACAUGCAAGUCGAGCGGCAGCGCGGGGUAACCUGGCGGCGAGCGGCGAACGGGUGAGUAAUGCAUCGGAACGUAUCCCAGAGUGGGGGGAUAACGCAGCGAAAGUUGCGCUAAUACCGCAUAAGCUCUGAGGAGGAAAGCGGGGGACCGAAAGGCCUCGCGCUGUGGGGAGCGGCCGAUGUCCGAUUAGCUAGUUGGUGGGGUAAAGGCCCACCAAGGCGACGAUCGGUAGCUGGUCUGAGAGGAUGAUCAGCCACACUGGGACUGAGACACGGCCCAGACUCCUACGGGGAGGCAG
RNAcentral lists this ribosomal RNA (322 nucleotides) under uncultured Pseudomonadota bacterium. RNAcentral's name for it is "bacterial SSU rRNA". It matches the Rfam family "Bacterial small subunit ribosomal RNA", at positions 29 to 351 of the family's 1533-position model. The record is from RNAcentral. Lineage: Bacteria; Pseudomonadati; Pseudomonadota.